UACGUAGGUGGCAAGCGUUGUCCGGAUUUACUGGGUUUAAAGGGUGCGUAGGUGGGUCUGUAAGUCAGUGGUGAAAUCUCCGAGCUUAACUCGGAAACUGCCAUUGAUACUAUAGGUCUUGAAUUAUCUGGAGGUAAGCGGAAUAUGUCAUGUAGCGGUGAAAUGCUUAGAUAUGACAUAGAACACCAAUUGCGAAGGCAGCUUACUACAGGGACAUUGACACUGAGGCACGAAAGCGUGGGGAUCAAACAGG
RNAcentral lists this ribosomal RNA (253 nucleotides) under uncultured bacterium. RNAcentral describes it as "partial 16S ribosomal RNA". It matches the Rfam family "Bacterial small subunit ribosomal RNA", at positions 524 to 776 of the family's 1533-position model. The record is from RNAcentral.